CACCCCACCUGCAGUCUUCACCACCUCGCCGGCGGCCACGGGGGCUAAAAACGAUAAGAGAGACGGUGGGGGGUGCAUUUUGUGGGCAUCUGACUCUUCCAGGGCUGGGCGGAGCCAAGGACACUGGGCUUGGAGUCAUUCGGGCUGGAUGGGGCUGAACCCGCCCAUGUCUAUGGCCUGCUGAGUCCUGUCCUCUUGCAGAGCUCUUUUCGUCAUCUGCGCAAUGGCAGGAAUGAGACGGAAACCAGUGAAGCGUUCCUCGCAGGGCCUGUGACCUUAUGAGGUAAGGAUGGCCACUUGGAACCCUUGAAGCUGUGAGUCCCCUUGACUUCCUCCCAGGCACUGCCCUCCCAGAAGUGAAGGUACCAGGAGGCAGAGGAAACAGUAGCACCACGGUGCCAUCCUGGAUCCAACGGAGCAGGUGACAGACAGCAGGGGUCACAGGCAGGCCAACUUGGACUGAGGAAAAAAAAGUCGCAGGAAAGCAGCUGGGCAUCCUGCCUUGCUUCGCCCUUGGACUUCUGCAGGGUCCGUUUGCCCUUUGUUUGACUCCCAGACCCCACUGAGCUGGGAACCAACCAGUGGGCUGGAAGCCCAGGAUGGGGUGGCCCACCUAGUAGGGACGACAUUUACUUGCACAAAAGAUGGUCUCCAGGAGCCCCUUCAGGACCGAAGCAGGGAAACACUGUCGCCCUGGAGAGCUGGGAGAGGGGGAGGCAGCAGCAGUCGCUGGCCAGAGAGGGGCGAAACAGAGCUCAGGGUCCCUGCAGCGGGUGGGGGAAGCUCAGGUCCAGGUGGGCUUUGUGUUCCUUGAGGUUCUCCGCCAAGGUUCUGCUUCAUCAGGCCUCUGCCGAGUUCUCUGGCCUCACCUGUCCACCGCUGCUCCGUGCAGCCACCUUUCCCCUGCUCCCCAAGGUGCGUCCAUUUCUGAGUUUCCCUCCUCUGGACCUGUGACCAUGCCAUCCCUCCUGCCUGGACUGCCUCCCAGUCUCUCAGUAGUACCACCUCCAGGUUCAGCUUGUGGUUCCGGCUGGUGGGUGUGCCACAGCCAGACGCUGUGCUCAGCGGGGAUACCCUAACCCUGGGUGAUCUGGGGUCACUCCCGUCAACCUGGGGGGCUCUGCAGGCAGGGAAGAGCCUCCUGGGUCUCUGCUCCAGCCCUGGCUUUACACAAAUGUGCCUGAGAAAACACGGUGUCCUGACACCUGGCCUCAUGCCACCUGGUGACGGCAUCUGAGCCAUCACCAGUGAUCAUUCACCCCUUUUCCCUUUUCCAGACAGCACGAAAAUCCAACACGCCCCUCACCGGAGGACUGGGAGGCUCCCGCGUUUUGGAUUCUGAAAAGCACUCCCUCGUUCACGUCUGCCUGGAUUCGCGCCCUCAAGCCCCCUGGCGCCCACUUUUCUUGCUCUCCAAACACUCGUUGAGGCCCGAGAGGGAGAUGCGAAGUUUGCCCACCACUGCGCGUCCCUCCUCCGCGAGGCGCCAAUGGGCCUGAGUCAGGGGCCUCCCCUUCAUCCGCUGGUCCCUCCCCUGUUCCCAGCUCCAGUUCCUCACCCGCUAUGGCUGGCCUGGCGCCUGUGGCCGUUCACCGUCUGCGAGGCAUCUGCGGGGACUGAAGUCGGGGAGGCAGCGGCGGGCUCUGGCAGAUACCAGGAGAUCCCGCCCCUCGGCCCGGGAGACCCCGCCCCUCGGCCACGCCCCUUUCCGCUCCCCACCCCGCCCUCUUGGGCCCCCCACCCGGCCCAGCCAGACAGAGACCUGCCUCCAGGUGGGUGGGAGGAGACCUUCAGUCCCUCGCCCCGGGCCUGUUGUCACUACCUCCCCCAAACACAUUGGUUAAAGUCACCCGAUUAGAAGGGGCCACCUGUGAGACUUGGAUCCAAAGCAAACUAGCGGAAGCUGAAGGGUCUUGGGGCUUCCCAGGCCUCUCGGAGGCCGGGAUGGUCGUGGAGGAGGGAGCGCUCAGUGCCUGGCCUACUGCCUGCCCUGAGCCGGCUCCCUACAGGACGCUUCUCCUGUACCUUCCACCUGCUGCGAGGAAGGGCUGGGGGCAGGCGUACCCAUUUUCCAGAGGAGAACUGAAGGCUCUCACCCCGGGUUAGGCCAGUGGCCGGAGGCAGAGCCGGGCCUUGAACCUGGCUUUCUGGAUCUUCAUCCAGGCCAUUCUAAAGGGGAUCACAGUUUCCAGGAGUCACUCCUGAAGAUGGUCAAGUACCAUGGAGGGGCAGGGCAUCCAUGGACCCUGAUUUGAGGCCCCGGAGCAGUUGGGACUGGUUUGGGCCACGGCUGGCCUAAUCUCCCCUCCACAGAGCCUGGGCAUUGUCCAGUUGGCAGCCAAGAGCCAUCUAUCCACUUUACAGCGGGCAGCUUUGACAGGCUGCUUGUUUCCAAGGACAAAGCCUGCAGGCUGUGGGUAGGCGAUAGCCACUGCGGACCUCGGGCUCAUUGCCUGGGUACAGGGGGUGGGGAGCCUGAGGUCUGCCAGGACCCAAGGGAGCCUCGAGGGUGGCCUGAGGACAUUGGGUCCUCACUCCUGGCCCCUCAGCCAACCCCCUCAUAGCCCAGGGCCAGGAAUUUUGGAAGGAAGAACCAGCCACUGGGAUGUUUUCACUUUUGGGUCACCCUGAUCCCCCCAGAAUCGAGGCUUGGCCAUCAGCCAGCUUUUAUGUGACCCAGGCAGCUCUCUCCACUCUGUUUCUUCUUCUACAGAAUGUUGAGAAUCACCUCUUUCUCUCAGGGACAUAAAGCAUGGCUGUGAGAGAGAUUUGUUUCUAGGAUGCUUUCCCUGACCUCCACUUAAAUUGGCUCAGGAGUUCCCUGAUCUCCACAAAUGUCAGGAACUUGUCCACCCGCCUGCCCCCAGCACCCAGGUUACACCUGACAAAAUGAUCUGUGACAUGCCUGGCCUGGAGCCUGGCACACAGCAGGUGCUCAGUAAAUACAUAUUUGGCCGGGCGCGAUGACUCACGUCUGUAACCCCAUCACUUUGGGAGGCCGAGGUGGAUGGAUCACCUGAGGUCACGUGUUUGAGACCAUCCUGGCCAACAUGGCGGAACCCUGUCUCUACUAAAAAUACAAAAAUUAGCUGGUUGUGGUGGCGCGUGCCUGUAAUCCCAGCUGCUGGGGAGGCUGAGGCAGGAGAACCUGGGAGGCGGAGGUUGCAGUGAGCCAAGAUCAUGCCAUCACACUCCAGCCUGGGUGACAGAACAAGGCUCAGUCUCAAAAUGAAUACAUACAUACAUACCUAUUUGUAUUAGGAGGAGAAAACCAAGAACCAGAGAAGAGAAGAGAAGGGAAGGGACCUGUGGCCACAUAGCAAGGCCAUGGCACAGCCGAAGUCUCCUCUGCUUUCCUCAUGCAGCCCCGUCCAACCCAUCUCUUUCAUCUCUUUUCUUAAAACUUAAAAAUAUUUUCAGGGGGGUGUGGUGGCUCAUGCCUAUAAUCCCAGCAAUUUGGGAGGAUGAGAUGGGAGGAUUGCUUGAGCCCGGGAGUUUGAGGCUGCAGUGAGCCACUGUAGUCCAGCCGGGGUGACACAGCCAGACUCCAUCUUUUUCUCUGUAUAUUUUUUCACCUCUACCUGAUGUGACUGAGUAACUGCUGGGGUACAUCACCUCUUUCAGGUGAUGGAAAUGUUCUAAAGUUGAUUAUGCUGAUGGUUGGUUGCCCAGCUGUGAAUGCAGUAAAAACAUUGAGCCGUACACUUUAAAUGGACAAGUUAUGUGUGAAUUAUAUCUCAAUAAAGCUCUGUGCCCCACCCAAAUCUCCUGUCAAACUGUGAUUCAUAGCGUUGGAAGUGGGGCCGGGUGGAAGGUGACUAGAUCAUGGGGGCGGAUCCUUCAUAAAUGAU
RNAcentral lists this long non-coding RNA (3851 nucleotides) under Homo sapiens (human). RNAcentral's name for it is "HSALNT0155225". The record is from RNAcentral. Lineage: Eukaryota; Metazoa; Chordata; Mammalia; Primates; Hominidae.